CCAGAGUUUAACCUCAGCAGCAAUACCCCAAGCGACCCGACCGCCUCCUUUAACUCUUCUUCCUUGCUGCGAAAGAUCCAAAUGCGAAACUAGAAAUUCAGUCGCGCGUGACCGGGAUGAGAGCGAGACCCGACUCUAAUGAAUCGCAAAUCCAACGGCAACUCUACCCAAGCGCGUGAAGCGUCUCUUUAUUCUUUUUUUGUUUCUCACAGUUGUUCGACUAUGGCAGCCCCCUGCAAAUUUGUCCUCGCAGCAGUGUCCUUGCUCGUCCUUGGCUCGCGUGGAUGGACGCCAUCGGGUGCAACGACGAGCGAGUGUAUCCCAGUCGUUCGCUUCACUCUCUGACCCAGAUUUCAGCCAGAAAUUUGGAAGAGGGAAUGCUUUUUCUCGUCCUUGGAAGGGAGAUUUUUAAUUGGGAAUGGGUAGAGAGUCGAUUCUACCCUUUUCCCUCUCAAAAAUUGAAGCCCUAAUUUCCAAUCAUAUAUAUAUUCUCGUUAACUCACUUUUUAAGGGGGGCGGCGAUCUUUUUCCUCUUUUCUUUUUUUCCUGAUUGUUACCUAGCACAAAGAUAUCCAAUGGUUCAAACAGAAAAUACUCUAAACAUAUAUUAAAUUUACCCAUAAAAGUAGAGGUUGCCAUAUUUUAGCGUGGGGGAACUACAUUUUCUACCCAGGUCUUUGUUUGGCUGUUCAGACUCAGGGUCGCGUUUUGGUGUUAAAGGAUUAUUGCUCCUCAGCUCGUUUGUUCUCGUUGGUUGCUAUCACUUAAGGAUCAUUAAGAUGCUUAUUGUCAUAUAUGCUGAAAUCUGGUGCCUUUGCUUCAGUUUUGAACAUGAGAAUAUUAUUUUAGGUGAUGAAUUUAUAUCGUGACUGGUCUAUUGCCGAAUUUGACUUAUAUAUAUGUUCAAUUUGUUACUUAUGGGAAUGAGUGUUGAAACUUGAGUUUAAGCCUUGUAAAAGCUGUUCGAUUUCUAUUCAAGGUCAGGAAUUUGCGUUAUGUUGCUUUAGCGCUUCUCUUAUUGUUUGCCGUUUAAGUUUGAGCACGCAUUUAAUUUUGAUCAGAUUCAAACAUUCAUGUGGAAGCUUGAUCUCCAUUAUGCCCAUCUGGUUGUUAUUGAUCCUAAAAAAAAAAGAAAUUUUUUAAAAAAUGGAUAUGUGACAUGUUUACUUCCGGUAAAAUGGGCAAGAAUGUUUCUUUCCAAGUUAAUCAAUCUUUUUUUAAUUAUAAGUUUAGCUACCAGUUAGAGUUAUGGCUAGAUUUGCGACUACUCUAUAUAGCUAAUCUUCUUUUGUUUAUGUACUUUGCAUGUAAAAUUAUUCGUGUACUUCAUGGACUCCAAUCAUUCUUCUAGCAUUUCGGAAGAGCCAUAAAAGCUCAAAAUCAUUCUCAUCGAGUCUAAGCAGCCGCCAAACCGUUGAACAGAUCCCGAAGUCAGAAAGAUCCAAAAAUCCAAGGAGUUGAAGACUUUAGCUAAAAGCUCAAAUUUAUUUUUUUUACUAAGUCUUGUAUUUUGUUUUUUUGGGCCUAAGCCCUCAUCAUUUUUGCAUUAUUAUUAUUAUUUUGUUUAGUUAGGACAGGUACAAAGAAAAAUGGGUCAAAAAAACCAAAACAGGUGAGUUCAAAAAUCGGUCAAGGCGAACAAAACUCGGAUUUGGAUCCAAAUCUCUUUCCUUC
This is a long non-coding RNA of Solanum pennellii, 1674 nucleotides long. RefSeq lists it as uncharacterized. The transcript is spliced from 2 exons. The record is from RefSeq and is a predicted model, not a curated record. NCBI's taxonomy places the organism in Eukaryota, Viridiplantae, Streptophyta, Magnoliopsida, Solanales, Solanaceae.